Molecule: long non-coding RNA, 1074 nt
Organism: Phasianus colchicus (ring-necked pheasant)
Lineage: Eukaryota; Metazoa; Chordata; Aves; Galliformes; Phasianidae
Source: RefSeq, a predicted model, not a curated record
UCAUUUAAGCAUUGGAAGCAGAGAUAUGGAUACCUUGCUGGAGAACCCUGUGUACCUGAGGCCUUCUAUGGAUAUCAGCUGUUGGUCUGAGGAUGCUUGACAUGUUUCAAUUGCCUGUUACCCAAAAGGGAUGGAUGUGGGAACCUGCUAAAAAGGUGCUGAACUAUAUGAAUUAAUUCUAAAUGGUUUUGGAAUUUUGGAAUAUUACAUGAAUGUUUGGAGCACCCAGAAGAGGAAAGAUGUGGAGAUUUUGGAACAUGUCCAGAGGACAGCUAUAAGGGUUGAUUGCCACUCCAGAACUGCUGCACCUGCUCCAGAGCACAGUCUUUAUUUUUAAUUCAUACAGCUACAUAUUCUGCAUUUCCCUCAGGCUAGUUGAACACUUCAUGCUCCAACUUCAUCUGAAAAAUUGCUUUACGUCUCCUGGAAGUGAGGGAAAUCCAUUUUCUGUCAAGACCAGAGAGAAUCUGCUCUCUGAAGGUAAAGGGCAGAGCUUAAAUGAAGUGACUGUAUUGGUUGUCCUGUACAGCUGUAGUGACCUGCCACCAUCCUGUGUGUGAUUCUUUCCAGCUCAGCCUGUAAUGUGGCUUAGAUAUAGAACUGUACCCAAAUCUCUCUGCCCUCAAAGAGCUUCUCCCAUCACCAAGCUUCCUCCCAAAUUACUUUGUAGCCCCACCACUUUGCUCAAGGCUUCUGCAUUCAUUUCAGUCAUGCUGGCAGACCUCCACUUUUCCCACUAUAGUCAGAGUGCUGCUGCUGGUUAAAAGAAGCUAUGUACCAGCAGAUGACAAUUUGCCUAUAUCAUGGUGCCUGGAGUCAAUCUUCACUCUGUCUUCCAUUGUUCAGGCUGCCCUUCAUAGAACGCACAUCCAAAAGAAGGGAUUUACUCCUGUAAGGGCCCUUAAAGACUGGUUUGACUCCUGCGUGGGAAUUUCAAAACAAAGAAAAUCUCAGAAACAAACAGAAACAGUCAAGAAACACAACAAAGAAGACACUGAUGUGAUUCUCUUCUGCUAUAUUAUUUCUCAGCAGAAAUAGCACUGUAGAAGGAAGGAGCCUAUACAGAUUUUCUUU